GCCUACGUUCGUGCCAAUAGGUCGCUAACACAACGUCCGUAUCGACAAGUGAAAACAAAUGAAUUACCAUGUCAUGCAUUCUUUUAGGUGACUUGAACAAAACAUUCGUAUGAUGCAGUGAAACAAACGUAUCGCCACGAUCUGUGUUCGUUCCGGUGGACGUAAACAAAAUGCUUGUAUCAGACACAAAAAAUCCAAAAAAGUUAACAAAUGACAUAAUGAAGAACAUAAAAAAUCCAGAACAAUCAAAUCUACAAGAACACGAAAAAUAAAAGGUUAAAAGAGAGCUCACCUACCUUUUCGAAAUUUGUGUUUUUUCGUGCAAAGAUCCAUCAAAACGAACCUAAUGGAUCAUCCAUUCAAAGAAAUCGAGAGAUAAAAACUCAGAUCAAACAAAACCAUAAGAACUCGAAAAACAUGAAGAACAAGAGCAAAAAAUGGAGAUAAUCCACAUUUUCGAGGUUUGUUUACACUUUUCUAGUGUUUUCCUUGUGCAAUCCAUCUUGAAGAGUAAAAAACGAACUCAGAUCUAGCAUUCAUUUAAAAAAAAUUGAGAGAACAUAUUUUCUCACGUAUGCUUACCGGAUAUGAACAUAUUUUUUCGUGUGGUUUCCGGAUACGAACGAAUAAAUGUAUUGGUACUUCACAUAUGAAUUAAUAAAUAUUGGUAUUCAAUGUGUGCAUAACGAAUACAAACGUAAGCUUUCUAGAGUUAGAGCACUUUAUGAC
This 729-nucleotide long non-coding RNA is filed under the name Linum usitatissimum (flax). Its description in RNAcentral is "long non-coding RNA (LUSI_LNC007094)". The record is from RNAcentral. Lineage: Eukaryota; Viridiplantae; Streptophyta; Magnoliopsida; Malpighiales; Linaceae.